Molecule: long non-coding RNA, 1394 nt
Organism: Mauremys reevesii (Reeves's turtle)
Lineage: Eukaryota; Metazoa; Chordata; Testudines; Geoemydidae
Exons: 6
Source: RefSeq, a predicted model, not a curated record
CCUCAGCUGGGGCUGAUUGGUAGCCCUGCAAAAGCUGGAGAGAGAAAAAGGCUGCAGGGCAGAAGGGAGAGAUGACUACCAAAGAGGCUGAGGAACCCACUGAGAGCAGAGGUCUUCAUCAGUGGACAAGUGAGAAGCUGCGCAGAUAGUCGGACCUCCAAAAGAAGAGGAUCACAGAAUGUAAAACUAAAAGAAAUUAACUGAAGGUGGAGAAGGGCCUAUGAAAGUACUAAUCACCAGACAGAACGGAGACAGCUUAUCUCUCUGAUCAACAGAUACUGGUUUUAAAUCACAGUGCUCUGUGGGAAGGCCAUUGUGUAGCUGGACCAUGAGGGAAGACUGGAUAUGAGCCAUCACUUGGCAGGCCUGAGAGAGGGGGGAAGUCUUCACUAGCCUAAUGCCAGAAGAGCUGGCUCCUGUACCAACUGCUUCACCACCUUCCCCGACCCAUCCCAGCACAGAGGGAUCUACAGAUGAAUCACACGUCAUUUGGCUCUUUCAUUUCCUGUAAUAAAAUGGGCUCGGAAGAAUAUCGGCACACUAUCAGGAGAGUGGCAGCAUGCACAAAACAGUGAAUAAAGAGAAUGCUAAAGCUGGGCUGUUUGAUGUGCAGUCUCCUCUGAUAUCAGAAACUUUUUCUCUUAGGAAAAAGAAGCCAGAAGCCUUUACCUACCAAAAAAAGAAUCUUUGAUCUCCCCUUUUAUGUUUUUUUCCUCCAACAAGAGCCAUGCCAGCAUUACAGAAGUAGCCAUCUGCAAAACAAUUUGCAAACUAGCUGUGAACACAGCUUGCUUUAGAGAAAUAAUAAACUUUCACAUAAUGGCAUGCACGUGGCAUCAAUUUUUGUGAUGUUGCUCUCCCCCCACCCCCACCCCGGGAAAAAAAAAAAAAGCUUGUGUAGAAGAUAGAUGUCAAAGGCAUCAGUCCUACACACAACUGUAAAUAUUUGCCUUGAAAAAGCAUGUGGUACAUCCUGUAAUUCUUGGCUGAGCCUGAUAAUCUGGUGGCAGCUUAAUUGGUUGUUAGUGGACUAAAACAAAGAAUCCGUUAAAUAAAUUAAAUAAACAUCUUGGGGCCUGAUUUCUCAGAGGUGCUGAGCUGCUGCAGUCUUUUUUGGCUUCCCUGCGAGUUUUGGGUGCUCAAUAUUUCCGUAAAUCAGAGCUUUGGCUGGCAAUUCAAAGUUAAAGCAUAGUUCAAACAAGGUCCCAGUCCCAGAAUAAAAUCCCCAAACCAAGAUUUUCAAAAAUGGGUGGCUAAAAUUAGGCUCCUAAAUCCUUAUUUGUAUUCCUGUAUAAUGGCUGGAUUUUUCAAAACUUCUGAGCAUUCAGUAGCUUCCAAUCUGAUUAGAGAUGACUGUAGGGUGGGUUGGAAAAUAAUUCUGUUUUGAGGGGAAA